GAUGAACGCUGGCGGCGUGCCUAAUACAUGCAAGUCGAGCGAACAGACGAGGAGCUUACUCCUCUGACGUUAGCGGCGGACGGGUGAGUAACACGUGGAUAACCUACCUAUAAGACUGGGAUAACUUCGGGAAACCGGAGCUAAUACCGGAUAAUAUAUUGAACCGCAUGGUUCAAUAGUGAAAGACGGUUUUGCUGUCACUUAUAGAUGGAUCCGCGCCGCAUUAGCUAGUUGGUAAGGUAACGGCUUACCAAGGCAACGAUGCGUAGCCGACCUGAGAGGGUGAUCGGCCACACUGGAACUGAGACACGGUCCAGACUCCUACGGGAGGCAGCAGUAGGGAAUCUUCCGCAAUGGGCGAAAGCUUGACGGAGCAACGCCGCGUGAGUGAUGAAGGUCUUCGGAUCGUAAAACUCUGUUAUUAGGGAAGAACAAAUGUGUAAGUAACUAUGCACGUCUUGACGGUACCUAAUCAGAAGGCCACGGCUAACUACGUG
This 497-nucleotide ribosomal RNA is filed under the name uncultured bacterium. Its description in RNAcentral is "partial 16S ribosomal RNA". It matches the Rfam family "Bacterial small subunit ribosomal RNA", at positions 28 to 507 of the family's 1533-position model. The record is from RNAcentral.